AUCGAUUGAAAUGAAUGUUUGUACAAAUUCGAUGUUGUAUUGCAGAUUGAAGCAUCAAUAACCAAAUACCUAGACAUCAAUAACCAGGAAGCUGAACAACAGGUGCCUUUGUAUGACCUGCCCUCCAAAAUUCUUUACCGGGUGCAUGUUGAACAAGAUACCGAUGAAGUGUUUGCUCAUAUUACUUUGGUUCCCGAUACAGAGCAGGAUGACUGCUCCACUGAUAUGGAUCCUCCGCGUCCACCCCCUCCAAGACCACCUGCGCAUUCCUUUCGUAAGACUCACAGUUUCUGAGACAAGUUCACGUGGAUUUUUAUCUGUUCCCAAGAGACAGGCUGA
Molecule: long non-coding RNA, 339 nt
Organism: Cryptomeria japonica (Japanese cedar)
Lineage: Eukaryota; Viridiplantae; Streptophyta; Pinopsida; Cupressales; Cupressaceae
Exons: 3
Source: RefSeq, a predicted model, not a curated record